RNAcentral lists this long non-coding RNA (1090 nucleotides) under Ananas comosus (pineapple). Its description in RNAcentral is "long non-coding RNA (ACOM_LNC035201)". The record is from RNAcentral. Lineage: Eukaryota; Viridiplantae; Streptophyta; Magnoliopsida; Poales; Bromeliaceae.
AAUUUCGUAUUGGCAGAUAAUUAAUUAUUUAAAAUUAUUGGUUGCGAAAUAAGUAAUAAUCUGUUGCGAAUUAUUUGAAAUAGUUAGUUGCGAAAAAAAGGGUCAAACUCAAAUUUCGUUCACGGAUAUUACGUUGCGAAUGAAUUGGCGGGUACAGAUAUUACGCAUGAGAAAAAAAAUAUUUAUCUUUAUUUGGAAAUAAAUUACUACUUAGUUAAUUAUUUGAAAUGAUUGGUUGAAAAUUACUGGACAUAAAAAUAUUAGUAAAAAAGGAUAGAGAUAUUUUUGGAAAGAGGAAAAAAUUCAAAACUCACGCUUUUAUGAGUAGUAUAGAUAUAGAUAUUGCAUGUCACUUCCCUACUAUCACUUCUUCUGUAAUUUUCAUUUCGUAAUUUUUUUUUCCUACUGUCACUCUUAUAAUUUUUUUAGUUUUUAAAUGUUGAUACUUUAAAAUAGAACAUAUUAUUUUUAUUUUAUUAUUUAAAUACGAAGCAAGUAUUAAUUUUUUUCUUGGAUGUCUUAUUGUUCUCAGGAUAUGGUACUUGGGUAUGAUUCUAUACGUAACAUCACUCCUCUUGGAGACAAAUGGAAUAUCAAAGUCAGAGUGAUUUGUCUGUAUACUAUACCUAAAUUUUAUCGUCCAGAGGUGGUGAAUAGCCUAGAGUUAGUUCUUUCUGAUCAAAAUGUAAGAUACGACUUUCAUUUUCAAAUUGAACAUACGUUUGUUUUAUUUUUACUAAAAGAUACUACAUAAUUUGUUUAUUUUCUAUUUUAGGGAGUUAGGAUACAUGCAACGGUAAGAAAAGCUUUCUUAAACAAAUUUAAAGGCCUUUUUACGGAAGGAUAAGUUUAUGAGAUCAACCAGUUUGGAAUGGGGCAGAGCAGCGGCUCCUACAAGACCACUAUACAUUCUUACAAAAUUAAUUUUCAGUAUUCUACAGUUAUACAUGAGAUGGAAGAUGUUUUGACAAUAUCAAAGUAUGAAUUUAUAUUUACCCCUUUUGAUGAAAUACUUGCUAAUGUCGCUGAUGACAAAUAUUUAGUACGUAAGAGUUGUUACAUGUAUCAAAUAUUUAAUUCUCGUAAUCAU